CAGCAGCCGCGGGAAUACGAAGGGUGCAAGCGUUAAUCGGAAUUACUGGGCGUAAAGCGUGCGUAGGCGGUUUGUUAAGUCUGUUGUGAAAUCCCCGGGCUCAACCUGGGAAUGGCAAUGGAUACUGGCAAGCUAGAGUGUGUCGGAGGAUGGUGGAAUUCCCGGUGUAGCGGUGAAAUGCGUAGAGAUCGGGAGGAACAUCAGUGGCGAAGGCGGCCAUCUGGGACAACACUGACGCUGAGGCACGAAAGCGUGGGGAGCAAACAGGAUUAGAUACCCGCGUAGUCCCUGUCUCUUAUAC
Molecule: ribosomal RNA, 301 nt
Filed under: uncultured bacterium
Lineage: Bacteria
Description: partial 16S ribosomal RNA
Rfam family: Bacterial small subunit ribosomal RNA
Source: RNAcentral